This 99-nucleotide small nuclear RNA is filed under the name Suricata suricatta (meerkat). RNAcentral describes it as "U2 spliceosomal RNA (ENSSSUG00005002864.1)". It matches the Rfam family "U2 spliceosomal RNA". From Rfam's summary of the family: U2 is a small nuclear RNA (snRNA) component of the spliceosome (involved in pre-mRNA splicing). Complementary binding between U2 snRNA (in an area lying towards the 5' end but 3' to hairpin I) and the branchpoint sequence (BPS) of the intron results the bulging out of an unpaired adenosine, on the BPS, which initiates a nucleophilic attack at the intronic 5' splice site, thus starting the first of two transesterification reactions that mediate splicing. The record is from Rfam by way of RNAcentral. Lineage: Eukaryota; Metazoa; Chordata; Mammalia; Carnivora; Herpestidae.
AUCGCUUCUCGGCCUUUUGGCUAAGAUCAAGUGUAGUAUCUGUUCUUAUCAGUUUAGAUCGACAUGCAUCUGUUAAAAUGCCAUCCCUUUGCAGCCUUC